GAGUCUGCAGGUUUCAAACCUAAACAGCGCUCUUCAUCCUGGACGUGCGAUGGGGGAGGAGUCGGCCUGCUCAGUCCCCACGACAUAGCAGGACUAGGUUGACAGACAACCGAGAUGGGACACAUCUUGAGUCCCUCACAGUCCUUGGAGGAAGGCAGACGAGAAAAAGACAAGAAAAGUGUUGAUUGCCUGCGCUUCUUAUUAAACAUCGGCGCGUUCACUGACGAGGAAGCAAACACCGAUCUGGCGUACCACGAGCGGGUGUAUUUUCCUUUCACAAAUACUGCUUCAUUUUGAGCAUCAUAACCCUGAGGUGGGACGUUAUCACCACUUUUUCCACCGAGAGGUGACAGGUUCAGAGGUUGUUUGUCCACGUUUGCACAGCGUGUGAAGGGGAACUGAAAUUGGGAUCUACUUUCCAUACCUUUAUUCUAAGCAAUUAUCAAAUGCAAAAAAGGGAGGAGAGGAGGAGAAACAGAAAAAAUGAGGAUAAACCUCAUCCCCUCCUCAAGGUUAUAUAUAAUUCUCCUUUGAAGAUAAAAUAGCAUUUGUUAUAGA
This 558-nucleotide long non-coding RNA is filed under the name Pongo abelii (Sumatran orangutan). RNAcentral describes it as "lincRNA". Lineage: Eukaryota; Metazoa; Chordata; Mammalia; Primates; Hominidae. The record is from RNAcentral.